UACAGAGGGGGCAAGCGUUGUUCGGAAUUACUGGGCGUAAAGCGCGCGUAGACGGUUUUGUAAGUCAGAUGUGAAAUCCCUGGGCUCAACCUGGGAACUGCAUUUGAGACUGCAUGGCUAGAGUAUCGAAGAGGGAAGUGGAAUUUCCGGUGUAGCGGUGAAAUGCGUAGAUAUCGGAAGGAACACCAGUGGCGAAAGCGACUUCCUGGUCGAAUACUGACGUUCAUGUGCGAAAGCGUGGGGAGCAAACAGG
RNAcentral lists this ribosomal RNA (253 nucleotides) under uncultured bacterium. RNAcentral describes it as "partial 16S ribosomal RNA". It matches the Rfam family "Bacterial small subunit ribosomal RNA", at positions 524 to 776 of the family's 1533-position model. The record is from RNAcentral.